RNAcentral lists this unclassified non-coding RNA (231 nucleotides) under air metagenome. RNAcentral describes it as "partial contains small subunit ribosomal RNA, internal transcribed spacer 1, and 5.8S ribosomal RNA". The stretch from base 1 to 46 matches the Rfam family "Eukaryotic small subunit ribosomal RNA", at positions 1786 to 1831 of the family's 1831-position model. The record is from RNAcentral.
AAGUCGUAACAAGGUCUCCGUUGGUGAACCAGCGGAGGGAUCAUUACCGAGCUUACAACUCCCAAACCCCUGUGAACAUACCUAUCGUUGCCUCGGCGGGCUCGCCCCGGCGCCCCCGGGCCCGGACCUAGGCGCCCGCCGCAGGACCCCGAACUCUUGUCUCUGACGUGUAUCUUCUGAGUGACACAAGCAAAUAAAUAAAAACUUUCAACAACGGAUCUCUUGGUUCUG